Molecule: long non-coding RNA, 625 nt
Organism: Rhododendron vialii
Lineage: Eukaryota; Viridiplantae; Streptophyta; Magnoliopsida; Ericales; Ericaceae
Exons: 3
Source: RefSeq, a predicted model, not a curated record
AAACGGAGAGAGAGAAGAGGGCGAUUGAGUGAGACGACGAUGAACAGACCGACAAAUGGAACAUGAAGAAGAUGAAAUCGACCACGAAGACCACGAAGAUACACGAAGCUAUCUCUCGAUCUUGUGAAGGAGAACACAAAACACUACCAGAUUAGGGCUCCAUUUCAAGUGUUUGGAAAAUUUGGAAGAAAUGGACGUAGUAUCACCAUUACCAUCUGAAAUGUGUCAAUCAUCUGCCAAUUCUUCCCAAAAAUGUUACAUUCCUCAAGUUAAGAAUGACGUGAUACCGAAAAUUAAUCAAGAGUUUGUCAAUUUAGACGCCGUUCAUAAGUUUUACAACAAUUAUGGUAAAGAAUCAGGAUUUGGUACGCGAGAACAUUCUAGCAGGAAGAAUGGGGAUAAAGAAGUCAUUAGGAAAGAGUAUGUGUGCUGUAAACAAGGCUACUCGGUGCCCAAAAAACCUGUACAAAUUAAUGGAUCCUCCAAACGGCGUCGGGGGAUAAUUAGAGAGGGUUGUGGUGCGAAAUUGGCAGUUGUGGGAUCAAAGUCCGGUGACAAGUAUGUUGUCUCCCAAUUUGUUGAGGCACAUAACCACCCUCUUACGUCUCCAAGGAGGACACAUUUG